UACCAGCUCUCCGAGUGGUGUGGAUGUUUAUUUGGCCUAAAGCAUCCGUAGCUGGCUGGACAAGUCCCCUGUUAAAUCCACCGAUUUAAUCGUUGGAGUGCGGGGGAUACUGUUCGGCUAGGGGACGGGAGAGGCAGACGGUAUUUUUGGGGUAGGGGUGAAAUCCUAUAAUCCCAGGAAGACCACCAGUGGCGAAGGCUGUCUGCUAGAACGCGCCCGACGGUGAGGGAUGAAAGCUGGGGGAGCGAACCGGAUUAGAUACCCGGGUAGUCCCAGCUGUAAACGAUGCAGGCUAGGUGUUUGGACGGCCACGUGCCGUUCUAGUGCCGCAGGGAAGCCGUUAAGCCUGCCGCCUGGGGAGUACGGCCGCAAGGCUGAAACUUAAAGGAAUUGGCGGGGGAGCACCACAAGGGGUGAAGCUUGCGGUUU
This 429-nucleotide ribosomal RNA is filed under the name uncultured archaeon. RNAcentral describes it as "bacterial SSU rRNA". It matches the Rfam family "Archaeal small subunit ribosomal RNA", at positions 474 to 903 of the family's 1478-position model. The record is from RNAcentral.